UGUUUACCUCUGAGCUGCCCCAGGGAUGGUAAUUACAUAGCUCCAAUAUCUGUCCUCUCGGCGCCUGAAUGGACUAUCCUCUGGGCUUUGGCGUUCUGAAGGUGUCAGAGAGAGCUUUCAGGCACUGUGACACACACACAGCUUCCUACAGAGCCGAUAUUUGUGGCACCAUACCUUAGCUUCUUGCAGUGAACCUGCAGGCAGUGACACAGCUACCUGCAGUGCCAAGCUGUCCUGUUGUUGAAGGCACGAGUUGAAGGCACGAGUUGAAGGCACGAGUUGAAGGCACGAGUUGAAGGCACGAGUUGAAGGCACGAGUUGAAGGCACGAGUUGAAGGCACGAGUUGAAG
Molecule: non-coding RNA, 350 nt
Organism: Cherax quadricarinatus
Lineage: Eukaryota; Metazoa; Arthropoda; Malacostraca; Decapoda; Parastacidae
Source: RefSeq, a predicted model, not a curated record